This 30-nucleotide non-coding RNA is filed under the name Mus musculus (house mouse). The record is from RNAcentral. Lineage: Eukaryota; Metazoa; Chordata; Mammalia; Rodentia; Muridae.
UCUAUAGUUUUGGAAAACCAUGAGCAGGGA